This 7999-nucleotide long non-coding RNA is filed under the name Malus domestica (apple). RNAcentral describes it as "long non-coding RNA (MDOM_LNC007341)". Lineage: Eukaryota; Viridiplantae; Streptophyta; Magnoliopsida; Rosales; Rosaceae. The record is from RNAcentral.
UUCAUUUCAACGUAUUGUGUUAAAUACACCAAAGCCUUCUUCGCUAAGUUCUUUGAAUUUUCUUUUGUUGAAGCUUGUAUGUUGAAGCUUUGUGAGUGGAGCAUGUAGGUUGAGGUAAUGUUCCCUUAAUUUCCCGAGUGAGGAAAACUUCUCGGUUGGAGACUUGGAAAAUCCAAGUCACUGAGUGGGAUCGGCUAUAUGAAUUUUAGAACGCCAUUGUGUUCUGUCCUGUGUCAUAUCCUCCGUUAGAUCCAAGUACUCUAAGUCUUUUCUUAGGGUCUCUUCCAAAGUUUUCCUAGGUCUUCCUCUACCCCUUCGGCCCUGAACCUCUGUCCCAUAGUCGCAUCUUCUAAUCGGAGCGUCAGUAGGCCUUCUUUGCACAUGUCCAAACCACCGUAAUCGAUUUUCUCUCAUCUUUCCUUCAAUUUCGGCUACUCCUACUUUACCCCGGAUAUCUUUAUUCCUAAUCUUAUCCUUUCUCGUGUGCCCACACAUCCAACGAAGCAUCCUCAUCUCCGCUACACCCAUUUUGUGUACGUGUUGAUGCUUCACCGCCCAACAUUCUGUGCCAUACAGCAUCGCUGGCCUUAUUGCCGUCCUAUAAAAUUUUCCCUUGAGUUUCAGUGGCAUACGGUGGUCACAAAACACGCCAGAUGCACUCUUCCACUUCAUCCAUCCAGCUUGUAUUCUAUGGUUGAGAUCUCCAUCUAAUUCUCCGUUCUUUUGCAAGAUAGAUCCUAGGUAACGAAAACGGUUGCUCUUUGGUAUUUCUUAAUCUCCGAUCCUCACCCCUAACUCGUUUUGGCCUCCAUUUGCACUGAACUUGCACUCCAUAUAUUCUGUCUUUGAUCGGCUUAGGCGAAGACCUUUAGAUUCCAACACUUCUCUCCAAAGGUUAAGCUUUGCAUUUACCCCUUCCUGAGUUUCAUCUAUCAACACUAUAUCGUCUGCGAAAAGCAUACACCAAGGAAUAUCAUCUUGAAUAUGUCCUGUUAACUCAUCCAUUACCAACGCAAAAAGGUAAGGACUUAAGGAUGAGCCUUGAUGUAAUCCUACAGUUAUGGGAAAGCUUUCGGUUUGUCCUUCAUGAGUUCUUACGGCAGUCUUUGCUCCUUCAUACAUAUCCUGUAUAGCUUGGAUAUAUGCUAUUCGUACUCCUUUCUUCUCUAAAAUCCUCCAAAGACAUGGGAGCAUGAAGAAAGACCCAAAAUACUAAUCAGUAAAAGGCAUUCCUAUUCCAUACAGGAUACAGAACUAGACGAUAAAUAAUGGGAAGCCUUACAAGAUUUAACUUUAAUUAUCCUCAUGGUUGCUGCAGCGGUCUCUAUGGGUGUUGGAAUUGCAACUGAAGGAAUGCCGAAGGGUAUGUAUGAUGGCUUGGGAAUAAUAGUUAGCAUAUUGUUAGUAGUGUUGGUGACUGCAAUUAGUGACUACAAGCAGUCUCUGCAAUUUAAAGAACUGGACAAGGAGAAGAAAAACAUAAUGGUUCAGGUAACUACAAUUAGUGACUACAAGCAGUCUCUACGAUGAGCCUUUGCCUGUACAUAUCAGAUGCGGCAAAUGGAUCACAUAGUAUUGAGAAUCUCACUCUUGCCUCUUCACAACCUUUCACCCAGUCAACUCAAAUGUUGAAUUUUGAAUGAUAUCUUCUUUGUAUUACCAAGAAUAACAUGCGGAUUACAAGGGUGGAAGAGAUAUUUAAGGAGAUGACAACACCCCUGCUUUUGUUAUCAGUGUGCAGCACCCAUACUUACAAAAUCCUAAACAAAUCUCCACUUACAAAAUGAUGGACUCAAGGAAUAAACAAUAACAGCACUUACAAAAUCCUAGCUAGUAAACACAGAUAGAAUACAUAACCGUUAUAAACGAUAUAGGCACAGAUGGUACUCUGCAUCAUUUUUGGAUGACUGUCAUGAUAAAAAAUAUAUAUAAAUCGAUUGAAGGAACCACAUCUAACCAUAUUUUUCUACAAAUAAACAAAAAUUAGACAAAUAAAAUUGGCAGAAAUCAUGAAAAAAAACGAAAAAAAGGAUAUUAAUCAGCCUAAACCAAAACCGUGAACCAAAAACUCAAGCCUAGUACUAAUUAAAAAGAAUAACAUAAAUGAAGAAUUUAGAAAAGAAAAAAAAAUAUAAAACACGAUAGCAGAUGGAGUGAGAGAGAUAAGAUACGAGCACUGACCUGGAGGUUGGAGUUUUAGAAGAGACUGCGAGAGCUUGAAGAAGACGAUGAAACGGUGUCGUAGAGGGGUGUGCUGAAUCCCAAAAGACGAGGGAACGUCGUAGGACAAAUCAGAAGCAAAGUUCACAGAUAAGAAGUAAAGUAGAGCUUUAUCCUUUCUUAUAUACCUAAACCCUAAGAUAAAUAAGAAGCAAACAUUCUAAAAAAAAAAAAAUAGAGAAGUAUCAAUUUUUCUUACUUCUCUCUCAAUUUUUCUUGUUUCCUCCACAAAAUCUAUUUUUUUUUUCCACAAACCAUAUCACCUUCCCCAAUUAAUUUUUUUCCCUAUCCUCCAUCCCCAAUUUUUUUUCCCGACACCCAAACACUCAUCCCUUUGCUCUCCCCACCCCUCUUUCACUCUCACUCUCCCAUCCCCAAAUUUAAAAAUCCAAACAAAUAAAUAAGGAAAUUUUAGACAAGAGAAGAUUAAUAGAGGAAGGACGCCGAGCCGGAGAACACGACCUGGAGAAUGAGAGAGAUUGCUAGGAUUGAAGUUUUCUGGUUUGGGUUUUGCGAGAGGUGUGCUGAAAGUGUGAGGAAAGGAGGGUAAUUUUGGGCUUAUUGAAAAAUUCAUUACAGAUUUUACUGUUCACCCGUGUUUUUCUAUAAGUUGGUUAUUUGAAGCUGCUUUUUGCAGCUUUAGAUUUUGAGCUUAUUUUCAUCCAAAACUUUGAAAUAAAGUUGAUUUAGAGUGUUUACAAAACACUAAAAACUUUCCCAAUUUUUUUCAAUACAACUUUUUAAAACUCUCCCAAUUUUUUUUUAUGCCCAUUUUUUUUUAAAAAUCACCUUAAUACCCACUUUUUUCAAGGAGCCUCCUGAUUUUAUUCAAGACACUCUCUUAGACGUUUGUAUGCCCCCUUAAUUUCUAAUAAAUUCCGUAUUGUUUCUCUUAAAAAGAAAUAGAAUGACUAUCAAAAAUGGAAACUGGAAAUAUUUGUUAGGUUUAAAAGGCUAAAAAUACAAUCCAGUCUAAAAAUGGGUUCUUUGUCCCUAAGAUGAAAUUGUGAUCACAUGUGAUUCAAGGUUUGUACCACAAACUUACAAUAAUAGUACUCUUUAAAUACUACAAGACAAAUGAUUUUUACAUACUUUUUUUCUCUUUUACACAUUUAUUUAUGUUCCAUAUUUCCUGUUAUGUAUCCAAUAUAAAGGUUACAAGAAAAGAAAAGAGUACGUAGGAAAAGAAGAAUAACAACAACAACAACAACAAAGCCUUUUCCCACUAAGUGGGGUCGGCUAUAUGAAUCCUAGAACGCCAUUGCGCUCGGUUUUGUGUCAUGUCCUCCGUUAGAUCCAAGUACUCAAGUCUUUUCUUAGGGUCUCUUCCAAAGUUUUCCUAGGUCUUCCUCUACCCCAUCGGCCCUGAACCUCUGUCCCGUAGUCACAUUUUCGAACCGGAGCGUCAGUAGGCCUUCUUUGCACAUGUCCAAACCACCGGAACCGAUUUUCUCUCAUAUUUCCUUCAAUUUUGGCUACUCCUACUUUACCUCGGAUAUCCUCAUUCCCAAUCUUAUCCUUUCUCGUGUGCCCAUACAUCCCACGAAGCAUCCUCAUCUCCGCUACACCCAUUUUGUGUACGUGUUGAUGCUUCACCGCCCAACAUUCUGUGCCAUACAACAUCGCUGACCUUAUUGCCGUCCUAUAAAAAUUUUCCUUGAGCUUCAGUGGCCUACGACGGUCACACAACACGCCGGAUGCACUCUUACACUUCAUCCAUCCAGCUUGUAUUCUAUGGUUGAGAUCUCCAUCUAAUUCUCCGUUCUCUUGCAAGAUAGAUCCUAAGUAGCGAAAACGGUCACUUUUUGUGAUCUUCGCUAGAUUGCUCCGGUCAUUAGUGUGGAUAAGUAUAUAAAUGGAUAGAGAUAGGAAAGCAAACACAAGAUGUACGUGGUUCACCCAGAUUGGCUACGUCCACGGAAUAGAGGAGUUCUCAUUAAUUGUGAAAGGUUUGCACAAGUACAUAGGUUCAAGCUCUCCUUUAGUGAGUACAAGUGAAUGAUUUAGUACAAAUGACAUUAGGAAAUAUUGUGGGAGAAUGAUCUCGUAGCCACGAAACUUCUAAGUACCGGAGUGUGGUAUCGUCUUGACUUGCCUUAUCUGUCUCAUAGGUAGAUGUGGCAUCUUCUCUGGAAGUACUCUUCCUCCAUCCAGGGGUGGUAUCUGUAACUGGUGGAGAUGCACAAGGUAAUGUAUCAAUUUCACUUGAAGCUUACUUGUAGUUUCAUGGCUUGGUCAAGCGCGAUACAAACCAUGUAGUAGGAGUCCCCCAAGUCGCCGAGCUAGGGGAUCUGCUGAAAGAGGUGACAGACAAGGUAAGCAAUCAGAGCUCCGGCUGAUUGUUCACAUUCUCCCUAUCUUGCAGGCAGCAUGAAGGAUAAAGAGAAGAAAAAUGAGGAGAGAUGAUAUAGGAUACUUUUGCUUUUGAAGAAGUAACUUUCCACAGGCUUAUUCUUGAACUGAGCUGGAGGGUUUUCUGGUUUCCUCCAGAGUAUAAGGGCCGACUGAAGAAUUUGAGGGUCAAAACAAGUCCAUCAAAUCUAGAGUACGUUCGACCCUGCUGAUAUGGGAUACUUUUGCUUUUGACAGAGUAGUGGAUGUAUCGGCACGUGUGCUGUUACGCUUGUCUCUACAUGCUUCCUUGUAUCCUUCUCACUUGCCCUAUCUGUUCCUCAGGCAGAUGCGGUAUCUUCCCUGGAAGCAUAAGAUGUUGAAGAUGAGUACUCGAGAGCAAUGCCAGGUAAGUAAUCAGGUAAGGGGUUCCAGGCAGUCAGUUCCUGGCUGGAAGCUUGAUUCCAAGUGCUGACUGAUUGCUCUCUUUCUCCUUGUCUUGCAGAUAAGAACAAGGCCAAAGGAAAAGACAGGGAAAAAGCAUGAUAUGGGAUACUCUUGCUUUUAACCCUGAUGAUAUGAGAUAUUCUUGCUCUAGUAUAGCUUGUUUACAGAGGUAUUAUCGGGGGAAAGAAAGCUGAAUAUUUCGAAAGGCUUCGUUGGGAGUGCCCUCUCAGAUAAGAGAAAAGGUUGAGCAUUUUUGCAGGUCUGCCUGUCCGUUAGGGAUGGAGGUCGACAUAUAUAGGAGUCUCCCUAACAUCAAGUAAUAAUGCUAUUCCUUUACCCUGCUUGGUCAUAGCACGGUAGUGGGAGCUGCCAGCUUCACAUGUUUUAACUCUGUCAGAGCACUUUGAAAAAAUGGUCUGUGGUAUCUGGAAAGCUGAUGUUGCGUGUGAAGAUUACAGACAAGCUUUAUCCAAGGAGAUCCAGCUCUUGAAGUUGGGAAAAUGGUGCCUUUUCGGUUUUCGAACAAGCAAUCCUGUCGGGGAUCUGGCUCUCGAGAUUCGGAGAACGAUGCCUCUUCGAUUUUUGAGAAAGCAAUCUUGCUGGGGGUCUGGCUCUCGAGAUUCGGAGAGCGGUGUCUCUUCGAUUUUUGAGAAAGUAAUCAUGUUGGGAGUCUGGCUCUCGAGAUUCGGAGGGCGGUGGCUCUUCGAUUUUGGAGCAAGCAAUCUUGUUGGGAGUGUUUUCUCAAAUGUGAGUAAAGGUUGGGCAUGUUUGCUAGUCUACCUUGCUACGAAGCACAAAGGUUGACACACAGGGACUUUCCAAUUAUCCAGCAAUGGUACUGUUCCUUUACCCUCUCUUCGAUUUUUGAGAAAGUAAUCAUGUUGGGAGUCUGGCUCUCGAGAUUCGGAGGGCGGUGCCUCUUCGAUUUUGGAGCAAGCAAUCUUGUUGGGAGUGUUUUCUCGAAUGUGAGUAAAGGUUGGGCAUGUUUGCUAGUCUACCUUGCCACGAAGCACAGAGGUUGACACAUCGGGACUUUCCAAUUAUCCAGCAGUGGUACUGUUCCUUUACCCUUGUGGGUAAUAAUAUGGUAGCUAGACCUUCAAAAUUUAUGUGUCUAAACUUUGUUAGUGUUGUUUCUUUGCAAUUCUUUUACCCUUCUUGGUCAGAGCGAUGUAGUGGGAGCUGCAAGCUUCACGUGUCUCAACUUUGUCAGAUAACUUUGGCAAAGUUAUCUGUGGUACCCAUGAGCUACUGUUGCGUGUGGGAAGUGGGUGAUUGAACAGUACGAUUCAUGUGCUUUCUACUUCGCCAGAAAUCUUCGAUAGAAUGCCUAAAAUUUCUGCAAAGCUGAGUGUGCGUGUGACAGGUGCUGACAAGGCUGGAAAAGUAUGUGCCUCUUCGAUUUCUGAGAUCGGCCCUCGUGGUCUCUGAGCAGCCCAGCUUUUGAGAAAGCAAGCCUCUUCGAUUUCUGAGAUCGGCCUUCGUGGUCUUUGAGCAGCCCAGCUUUUGAGAAAGCAAACGCCUCUUCGAUUUCUGAGAUCGACCCUCGUGGUCUCUGAGCAGCCCAGCUUUUGAGAAAGGAAACGCCUCUUCGAUUUCUGAGCAGGCGCCUCUUCGAUUUCUGAAGCUUCGUCGAGUGCAGAGUUUUUAUAGGGGCUGACAUUAAGUUCCAAAGCACACUUGAAUAUCCACCAGUAGAAGCUCCAUUCUUGCACUUCUAAGAUCUUGAUUUGUCCGACCUCUUCUCUCUUCAACACCUUUGAAAAUGUCUGGCCCCUCCGACCGUCGUUUUGACUUGAACCUUGUUGAAGAGGCAGCCCCGCCUUCUCCAGACAACAUAUGGCGCCCAUCCUUCGUCUCCCCUACUAGUCCUCUUACCGUUGGGGAUUCCGUGAUGAAGAAUGAUAUGACCGCUGCGGUAGGUGGCCAGGAACCUUCUCACUCCCAAAGAUAACAGACUACUUUCCAAACGGUCUGAUGAGUUGGCUGUUAAGGAUUCUCUGGCUCUCAGUGUUCAGUGUGCAGGUUCUGUGUCUAAUAUGGCCCAACGCCUAUUUGCUCGAACCCGCCAAGUUGAAUCAUUGGCGGCUGAAGUGAUGAGUCUCAAACAGGAGAUUAGAGGGCUCAAGCAUGAGAAUAAAAAGUUGCACCGGCUCGCACAUGACUAUGCUACAAACAUGAAGAGGAAGCUUGACCAGAUGAAGGAAUCUGAUGGUCAGGUUUUACUUGAUCAUCAGAGAUUUGUGGGUUUGUUCCAAAGGCAUUUAUUGCCUUCGUCUUCUGGGGCUGUACCGCGUAAUGAAGCUCCUAAUGAUCAACCUCUGAUGCAUUCUCCUUCUAGGGUUUUGUCCAGUACUGAGGCUCCGAAUGAUCCCCCUCCGGUGCCUUCUUUUUCUGGGGCUCUACCGACUGCUGAGACUUCUCCUAAGCAACCUUUGUGAAGGCUCCCUCUUGUUUGUUUAUUUUGACUCAAGUAUAUGUACAUAUUUGUAACUUAUCGGGGAUAUCAAUAAAUAAGCUUUCCUUCAUUUCAACGUAUUGUGUUAAAUACACCAAAGCCUUCUUCGCUAAGUUCUUUGAAUUUUCUUUUGUUGAAGCUUGUAUGUUGAAGCUUUGUGAGUGGAGCAUAUAGAUUGAGGUAGUGUUCCCUUAAUUUCCCGAGUGAGGAAAACUUCUCGGUUGGAGACUUGGAAAAUCCAAGUCACUGAGUGGGAUCGGCUAUAUGAAUCUUAGAACGCCAUUGUGUUCUGUCCUGUGUCAUGUCCUCCGUUAGAUCCAAGUACUCUAAGUCUUUUCUUAGGGUCUCUUCCAAAGUUUUCCUAGGUCUUCCUCUGCCCUUCGGCCCUGAACCUCUGUCCCAUAGUCGCAUCUUCUAAUCGGAGCGUCAGUAGGCCUUGUUUGCACAUGUCCAAACCACCGUAACCGAUUUUCUCUCAUCUUUCCUUCAAUUUCGGCUACUCCUACUUUACCCUGGAUAUCCUCAUUCCUAAUCUUAUCCUUU